Cricetulus griseus (Chinese hamster) is the source of this 922-nucleotide non-coding RNA. The record is from RefSeq and is a predicted model, not a curated record. NCBI's taxonomy places the organism in Eukaryota, Metazoa, Chordata, Mammalia, Rodentia, Cricetidae.
GUUGUGAGCUCUCCGGCCACACCCGCUCCUUCACUUUCAAGGUUGAGGAAGAGGAGGACACGGAACACAUGCUGGCGUUGAACAUGCUGUGCCUUACCGAGGGGGCCAAGGAAGAGUGUAAUGUGGUGGAAGUUGUGGCCCGGGAUCAUGACAACCAGGAGAUUGCAGUUCCUGUGGCCAACCUGAGGUUAUCUUGCCAGCCCAUGCUCAGUCUGGAUGAUUUCCAGCUCCAACCACCUGUAACCUUCCGCCUGAAGUCGGGUUCUGGGCCUGUGCGCAUCACUGGCCGGCAUCGGAUUGGUGAGAAGACUGGGCCCUCCCAUCUCUCCACCAGUGCAUCCUGAGUCCCAGAUUGUGGUUCCAGUAUUAUGUGCCUUUCACUGCCCCGCCCAAGCCUAUGAACUUCUGGUAACCUGUCCCAGUUUGUAUAAACAAUGAUCUUUCUGAAGAAAGUGAGGAUGAUGAGAGUGAAGAGGGGGAAGUCAAGCUGUGUGGCAUCCUUCCUGCCAGAAAGCACAGGGACAGGCCCUAGCCCUCUCCGGUUAGCCGCUUGCUACAGGCAUCAUGCACCGUAUGUUCCUGGACAAGUUUCAAGAAUUGUAAAUGUUUUUCUCGUUGAAGAGGAGAGUUUGGGAAGGGGCAGGUGGGAGGAACUUGGACCGGUGCUAAGAGAACUGCGUUCUCCACAGGGCCCUGUGUUUACUCCUACAGGUUGCCUGAAGCUUCCCUUUUCUAUUGGGGUGGGAUGACCUUUGAACAUUGACCCCCCCCCACCUGCCCAGAUUGAAAGUUUUGUGAACCCCCAGGUUAAGUUCUCAGCACUGAAAAAAAAGAAAAAAAAUAAAGUUCAGAACAACGUUUUUAACACUUUUUACAUUUUUAGGUAAAGAUCUAAAUAAAGUGGUAUGUGGUUUUUUUGCAA